This 253-nucleotide ribosomal RNA is filed under the name uncultured bacterium. RNAcentral's name for it is "partial 16S ribosomal RNA". It matches the Rfam family "Bacterial small subunit ribosomal RNA", at positions 524 to 776 of the family's 1533-position model. The record is from RNAcentral.
UACGUAGGUGGCUAGCGUUGUCCGGAUUUACUGGGCGUAAAGCGCGUGUAGGCGGCCCGGUAAGUCCGCUGUGAAAGUCCAGGGCUCAACCCUGGGAUGCCGGUGGAUACUGUCGGGCUCGAGUCCGGAAGAGGCGAGUGGAAUUCCUGGUGUAGCGGUGAAAUGCGCAGAUAUCAGGAGGAACACCAAUGGCGAAGGCAGCUCGCUGGGACGUGACUGACGCUGAGACGCGAAAGCGUGGGGAGCAAACAGG